GGUUAAGCGACUAAGCGUACACGGUGGAUGCCCUGGCAGUCAGAGGCGAUGAAGGACGUGCUAAUCUGCGAAAAGCGUCGGUAAGGUGAUAUGAACCGUUAUAACCGGCGAUGUCCGAAUGGGGAAACCCAGUGCAAUUCGUUGCACUAUCGUUAACUGAAUACAUAGGUUAACGAGGCGAACCGGGGGAACUGAAACAUCUAAGUACCCCGAGGAAAAGAAAUCAACCGAGAUUCCCCCAGUAGCGGCGAGCGAACGGGGAGCAGCCCAGAGUCUGAAUCAGCUUGUGUGUUAGUGGAACGGUCUGGAAAGUCCGACGGUACAGGGUGAUAGUCCCGUACACCAAAAUGCACAGGCUGUGAACUCGAAGAGUAGGGCGGGACACGUGGUAUCCUGUCUGAAUAUGGGGGGACCAUCCUCCAAGGCUAAAUACUCCUGACUGACCGAUAGUGAACCAGUACCGUGAGGGAAAGGCGAAAAGAACCCCGGCGAGGGGAGUGAAAAAGAACCUGAAACCGUGUACGUACAAGCAGUGGGAGCACCUUCGGGUGUGACUGCGUACCUUUUGUAUAAUGGGUCAGCGACUUAUAUUCUGUAGCAAGGUUAACCGUAUAGGGGAGCCGCAGGGAAACCGAGUCUUAACUGGGCGUUAAGUUGCAGGGUAUAGACCCGAAACCCGGUGAUCUAGCCAUGGGCAGGUUGAAGGUUGGGUAACACUAACUGGAGGACCGAACCGACUAAUGUUGAAAAAUUAGCGGAUGACUUGUGGCUGGGGGUGAAAGGCCAAUCAAACCGGGAGAUAGCUGGUUCUCCCCGAAAGCUAUUUAGGUAGCGCCUCGUGAACUCAUCUUCGGGGGUAGAGCACUGUUUCGGCUAGGGGGUCAUCCCGACUUACCAACCCGAUGCAAACUACGAAUACCGAAGAAUGUUAUCACGGGAGACACACGGCGGGUGCUAACGUCCGUCGUGAAGAGGGAAACAACCCAGACCGCCAGCUAAGGUCCCAAAGUCAUGGUUAAGUGGGAAACGAUGUGGGAAGGCACAGACAGCCAGGAUGUUGGCUUAGAAGCAGCCAUCAUUUAAAGAAAGCGUAAUAGCUCACUGGUCGAGUCGGCCUGCGCGGAAGAUGUAACGGGGCUAAACCAUGCACCGAAGCUGCGGCAGCGACACUAUGUGUUGUUGGGUAGGGGAGCGUUCUGUAAGCCUGCGAAGGUGACCUGUGAGGGUUGCUGGAGGUAUCAGAAGUGCGAAUGCUGACAUAAGUAACGAUAAAGCGGGUGAAAAGCCCGCUCGCCGGAAGACCAAGGGUUCCUGUCCAACGUUAAUCGGGGCAGGGUGAGUCGACCCCUAAGGCGAGGCCGAAAGGCGUAGUCGAUGGGAAACAGGUUAAUAUUCCUGUACUUGGUGUUACUGCGAAGGGGGGACGGAGAAGGCUAUGUUAGCCGGGCGAC
Molecule: ribosomal RNA, 1451 nt
Filed under: Klebsiella pneumoniae
Lineage: Bacteria; Pseudomonadati; Pseudomonadota; Gammaproteobacteria; Enterobacterales; Enterobacteriaceae
Description: partial 23S ribosomal RNA
Rfam family: Bacterial large subunit ribosomal RNA
Source: RNAcentral